RNAcentral lists this ribosomal RNA (478 nucleotides) under uncultured bacterium. RNAcentral's name for it is "partial 16S ribosomal RNA". It matches the Rfam family "Bacterial small subunit ribosomal RNA", at positions 28 to 507 of the family's 1533-position model. The record is from RNAcentral.
GAUGAACGCUGGCGGCGUGCUUAACACAUGCAAGUCGAACGGGAAUUAUUUUAUUGAAACUUCGGUCGAUUUAAUUUAAUUCUAGUGGCGGACGGGUGAGUAACGCGUGGGUAACCUGCCUUAUACAGGGGGAUAACAGUCAGAAAUGGCUGCUAAUACCGCAUAAGUGCACAGAGCUGCAUGGCUCAGUGUGAAAAACUCCGGUGGUAUAAGAUGGACCCGCGUUGGAUUAGCUGGUUGGUGGGGUAACGGCCCACCAAGGCGACGAUCCAUAGCCGGCCUGAGAGGGUGAACGGCCACAUUGGGACUGAGACACGGCCCAGACUCCUACGGGAGGCAGCAGUGGGGAAUAUUGCACAAUGGGGGAAACCCUGAUGCAGCGACGCCGCGUGAAGGAAGAAGUAUCUCGGUAUGUAAACUUCUAUCAGCAGGGAAGAUAGUGACGGUACCUGACUAAGAAGCCCCGGCUAACUACGUG